GGGGAAACGGCAUUAAGUGCUUGCACUUUUUGGACGUCGACCGGCGCACGGGUGAGUAACGCGUAUCCAACCUUCCCAUGACUAAGGGAUAACCUGCCGAAAGGCAGACUAAUACCUUAUGGUCUUCACUGACGGCAUCAGACGUGAAGUAAAGAUUUAUCGAUUAUGGAUGGGGAUGCGUCUGAUUAGCUUGUUGGCGGGGUAACGGCCCACCAAGGCGACGAUCAGUAGGGGUUCUGAGAGGAAGGUCCCCCACAUUGGAACUGAGACACGGUCCAAACUCCUACGGGAGGCAGCAGUGAGGAAUAUUGGUCAAUGGGCGAGAGCCUGAACCAGCCAAGUAGCGUGCAGGAUGACGGCCCUAUGGGUUGUAAACUGCUUUUGUAUGGGGAUAAAGUCAAUCACGUGUGAUUGUUUGCAGGUACCAUACGAAUAAGGACCGGCUAAUUCCGUGCCAGCAGCCGCGGUAAUACGGAAGGUCCGGGCGUUAUCCGGAUUUAUUGGGUUUAAAGGGAGCGUAGGCUGGAGAUUAAGUGUGUUGUGAAAUGUAGACGCUCAACGUCUGACUUGCAGCGCAUACUGGUUUCCUUGAGUACGCACAACGUUGGCGGAAUUCGUCGUGUAGCGGUGUAAUGCUUAGAUAUGACGAAGAACUCCGAUUGCGAAGGCAGCUGACGGGAGCGCAACUGACGCUGAAGCUCGAAGGUGCGGGUAUCGAACAGGAUUAGAUACCCUGGUAGUCCGCACAGUAAACGAUGGAUGCCCGCUGUUGGUACCUGGUAUCAGCGGCUA
Molecule: ribosomal RNA, 792 nt
Filed under: uncultured Bacteroidota bacterium
Lineage: Bacteria; Pseudomonadati; Bacteroidota
Description: bacterial SSU rRNA
Rfam family: Bacterial small subunit ribosomal RNA
Source: RNAcentral